UUGGGCUCGAUGAAAGGAGAUAGAAUAGGUGUUCGAGGGAGAGGUCGGCGCCCCCGCGUCCUGAGUGCGUACCGGAGGGGCGGCGACGCAGGCGCGACCAGGAGCUAGGAUGCGCGCCCCGAGGGGCUGGAAACUAGGGGAGCGAAGUUGCCGCCGCCGUGGGACAGGAAGGUAACUGGCGGGCUAAGGCCGGUUGAGGACGCGGAAGGGGCCCGACGUCGAGUGCCAUUGCCUAGGGGAGCGGCGGGGGAUGGCUAAGCGGGACGUCGGCCGGAAGGAGCGGCGGGGCCGCACGGGGAACCGGUGGCUCCUCUACUCAACGCGACGGGCACUCGUGGAGAGGACUAAGUAGAGAAAGGAGCGGGUGUACCCGGCGCGCUCAUCCUCGAGCGGCAGCCGGUACCUACGCCGGAUCUUGACGAUGGCGGGUACGGGACGGUACGCGGCUGCCGGUACCUGGUCGGCGUGCUCAUCCUCGUGCGGUGCCGCACGCGCGUACCUACGCCGGCUCUUGACGACGGCGGGGACUUGACUUCGGCGCACUACGACGACGGCGACCCCGCACGACGACGAGCGGAGAGGUCAGGCGGCCACGGAGAGUGAGCCCACCACAGGGCCCGACUGCCACUCCGUGACGCACGCAGGCUCGACGACGAACGCAGCGGAGCGCUGGCGACGACCUGGACUCCCUCGGCGGCGCGCGCAGGUCCCCUCGUAGACUCGUCGAGCGCAAACUCGACUGCCGAUGCACGCGUUGGAGACUUAAGUCACUACGUUUUAAGACCUCCGUUGAUGUACAUAUAUCAUAAGUACUUUCGAAAGUAAACUUUCGAGUAUUCCAGUUAAAACAAGGAAAAAGUAAAAACAAGAAAGUAAACUUUCGAGUAUUCCAGUUAAAACAAGGAAAAAGUAAAAACAAGAAAGUAAACUUUCGAGUAUACCAGUUAAAACCUCCGUUGAUGUACAUUUGUUUAAUACCGUGCGUCGUGUUCAAAGAAACAAACAUUUAAUUCGUCAGACCAUCUAAACCUUUCCUCCUUGUACCAUGACUUGAAAAUAUAUAGUCGUAUUCUACAAAAGGAUACGGAACUCCUCAACGGCUACCUAUUAUACGUCUCCGAUGGUUCACCAUCGAGGUUAGAACGUUAACUCCAGUCGUUACCCACGAAGAGGACCCUGCCGAGUGGACUCUAUGGUUGUGACUUCCUAGACUCAAAAGUUCUAGUCGUUCCGUACGCACAACGUCAGACACCCUACUAGCCGAGAUCUUUUAGUUCAAACGAGAAAACGUCAGACACCCUACUGGCCGAGAGUCACUCCACGGUUUCGAUAAUCCUCUAGGGUUCUGAACGCCUUGUUACCGUAUACGGUCGGUCUGUCAUACCUACUUCUCGCCGUUUUUAAGUCCUGUUGUAUGACAAACUGUUCCUUUACCUCUCACUCUUCAUACCGUCCCAGGAACACACCACAAGCGACUUCUUUCUGAACCUCUAGUUUCAGUAAACUCUCACUCCGUCGUUAGAAUCACCAUCCGUCUUCGUUACCUAAGUCUAUCGGACUCGUAACAUAGUCCCACGGAAAAGAGCACUCUAGAUUUCGUGAGGGGGCUGAAGGCAGGGGCGCUCUAGGCCUCUCCUUCACGACCGGAGGUCGGAGGCCGCCCCUUCGACGACGGAAGGUACCGUUUUUUAUGUUAAGGAGCGACUGGAGGGGUCAGUUCAGGGGGGAAGUGCGAGUUGGGGAGGAGACGCAGCACGUAGGAGCGGAAGGAGAGGGAUUUGUGUCUGGUUCGGGAGGGGAUUUGGGUUAGGGCACCAUGAUAACGUAGAACCAAAACACUUAUGAUAAUGUAGUACUUUUCUUCCCCCUGACUAAUAACCAAGUUUUAUUAACCCCUCGUAUCUCUACACUCUCUAACUCCCCAAGCCAACCCCUAAACAUGGUAUAGUACAACUACACAUAAGGUAAUAAAUAAGAAACGAGACGAACCCCGUUAAAACAACAUGUCCCUCGAUACUAAACCUAGUUAAUAUAUGAAUAUACACUACAAGAAAGUACGAAAACUCCGAGGACAACUUCUCUAUUAAAAAUCGAUAAACAUGACUAAUAACGAUGACCACAACUAACGUAAAUAACAACGAUGGUAUACGUCUAACGGCACUUACAUACUCUCUAAUUAUGGUAAUAGGGUACACACGUUAGAAAUUUGCCUACCGACUACGAACCACAUAAGAAAACACAGUUAGCCUUGUUUGUUCCUCCCUCCCAGACCGAGGUCAAGUAACAUUGAGUUAAUUGUAUCAAGCUGGUGAGACUUUUUCCACUACGAGACAUCAUUCAAGUAAAUACCAACACACACAAAGAUAACUACACAAACGGGACAGACAAGUAACGUAUAAGUCAACAAGCUUUUUCCCCACAGUAAACACGGUUCAAUUAGUUGAUCCCUUUCAUUGUGAACUAGUGUCCCAUUAUUUCAAUCAUCCACAUACAUUUCAAUACAUCGAAGCAGUUUGUCUACACUACAAAAUCAACAACCAGUCAAUAUCGACGAGAGGUUACUGGAAAACUUAAGUUGUACAGUAGUCAGUUUAUAUGUUCCUCCUGUGUCUUGUUUAGUCUUUCUUACAUCGUUCAACAAUUUAGACUAAACGACGAAAGUAAAACACCUUGAGAUAUCGAACACUUUAUAAGUACACAAUAUAGAACAUGCGGAGAACACUAAAAUGGUUACCUCAACCGAGAUCGAGAACUUUUCUACCACUUACUCUUCGAAGGGUUGGAAGGGUGACAUUCAAAGAAGAAGUACGGAUAAAUGUUCCUUUUAAUGAAAUUUUCAUAAACACACACACACACAAACCGGGUGACUUAAGGAUUAAUAAAUAGGCUUGGUCAUGUACGUUUGCAGAGUGGUAUAGAUUUUGCAAGUAGGGUUUAAAUUGUCCAUCGUUGUUACACUUUUCUAGGAGUCGACUCGUAGAAGUAACCCGUUACCUGUACUCCGCGCUCCCCACAAUUCUCCUUUACCUGAGAGACCUCGAAAGAAUGUCACUCCUGUCCUAGGGGAGAACGGGUUCCAAUUUAAGGAGUUGAUAGAUCGGGGCACUACGGUUACCAAGGGAAGGUCAGAAGAGAAAUUUUAGACAGUCGUCGUUCGAGACAGAUUUACAUACCAUGAAGAGAUUCCUCUACAGUGUCAUAAAAAUUAAAUUUAUGGACAAUAUCCAGGGAACUCACGAAUCGACUUUAAACGACCAAAUGAUCGAGAGACUUUCCCAGUUUAGUGACAUCUCGUUGAUAUCGUACGUUGACGAUAUCAACAUAUAUAUCAAACAUAAAUAGUGAUUCUAACCAGUAGUUCUACAAGACGUAGUUUCCACAACCAUCACGAUGUCAACUUUUUUAUUCUACUGAAACACCACAAUGAUGAUGGACUCUUCAUCGUUGGAGGGUGUUUUCCGUACGGUAAAAAAGACAAACACAUGAUACAAAACCCCUCGAUAUUGUUUCAGCAAUGAUACCGUCUUUUUCAUCAUGUCAUUUCGUACAUGGUCUAUAUGACCCUCUUUUACGGUGCACUAUUUUCUUGCUGAAGUUUACUUACGUAUACAGAACUUUACUUGAAAAAUAGUACAACACUAACUAAUGACCUUGAUAUGAAUUAAACAAUAGAAAAUCCGUCUUAUAUACUAUAACUGUCCUAAAAAAAUACACUAUGGCCUUCGUCCAUUUAAAGAAAACAGUUAACAGUAUGUGAUAAGAUUGGAGGGCGGACCGUCAUAGUAGAUGUUACUACAAAAGUGGAUCGAACUAGAAGACGUAACGUAUAUGAAGAUCAAAAAAUAUACAUAGGACACAUGACUAACAAAGGGAGAUAACACACAUUCGGCUUAAAAGAUUAGCUAGGAUAAAACACAGCGUUAAGCCCCUGAAUAACCUCUAUAGUAGGAUAACGGAUGAUAGUUGUAAUCUUCAGUUUUAGCUCAUCUUUACACUCCCCACCACGUUCCUAAUAGGGAACGUCCCGACGGGGGUGCAGUUCAAGCUACUCCAACCUCAAAAUUUCAAAAUUUGAAAGGUAACGAGGCCGCACCGAAACACUGUACACACACAGCACACUACCAGCUCGAGUAGCGGAACCUAACUCGUUACAAAAGCGGGUAACGUUAUACCUGUGGUACGGUGGCAGUUGUUACUCCUGUUCUUACUUAUUAUGAAAGUGGGGCAACGUUGCGUGCCCGGGAAAACGAUCAACUUUAUGUAGUCUCAUGUUGUAGUAUAUCGAAGUCGUGAGUCGAUGGGGUAAUGUCUUGAUGUGCUCCUGGUUCAAAGUGUACGUUGUAGAUAUUGGAAAGCUUUAAUUGUAAUAUCUGCCAUGUAUCUG
This 4384-nucleotide ribosomal RNA is filed under the name Triticum aestivum (bread wheat). RNAcentral's name for it is "partial small subunit ribosomal RNA". The record is from RNAcentral. Lineage: Eukaryota; Viridiplantae; Streptophyta; Magnoliopsida; Poales; Poaceae.